Molecule: ribosomal RNA, 253 nt
Filed under: uncultured bacterium
Lineage: Bacteria
Description: partial 16S ribosomal RNA
Rfam family: Bacterial small subunit ribosomal RNA
Source: RNAcentral
UACGUAGGGGGCAAGCGUUGUCCGGAAUCAUUGGGCGUAAAGCGCGCGUAGGCGGCCCGAUAAGUCCGCUGUGAAAGUCAAAGGCUCAACCUUUGAAUGCCGGUGGAUACUGUCGGGCUAGAGUCCGGAAGAGGCGAGUGGAAUUCCUGGUGUAGCGGUGGAAUGCGCAGAUAUCAGGAGGAACACCAAUAGCGAAGGCAGCUCGCUGGGACGGUACUGACGCUGAAACGCGAAGGCGUGGGGAGCGAACGGG